AUAAAACUCACAAAUACAUAUUGUGAAGGAAUCUGUCCAGGAAUCUUGGUGGCAUCGUAGUUUUUUAGGACAUGAAAGUUUUGAAAGUUUCUCCAACUACUCAUCUACUAAACUCCAAACACCUGCACAGGUUCCUCAGAUGUCAUCAGAGUGGUUCAGUUUGGUUCAAUUGUCUCUAUUCGGUUCAGUAUGGGGAAGACUUCAUAACUAGCCAGAAGACCAUCAUUGAUCCCCUCCAUAGUUCCUAGCUAAGGAGGCUGGCUGUUCACAGAGCGCCGAGUCCAAGCAAAUCAACGGAAAGUCUGAUGGAAGGGCACCAUGUGGCAGGAGAAGAUGCACCAACAAAAGAGAUGACCAUGGGCUUCAGUGGAUUUUUAAAAAGACAAGAUUCAAGAAGCUGCAUGGUAGAUAUCCAGAAAGAGUGAAAUGAGAUGAAGGACCAGUUUCAUUCAGUUGCUUUAGGGAGACGGGCUACAACUGUCGGGUUCCUCAGGUCAACCCACUUCUGAGCCUGGACCAACGGAGGAAACAUCUCAACUGGGCCGAAGAGAAGGAGGACUGGACUGCUGCUGGAGAAUGUUCCAGAGGACUUCAGGAUUCCUCCAGCUAGACCUGAUCCCUGCCCAGACUUUUGAGAUGGGUUUGCACCAGCAAAGGAAGUGUACCACAGUUUGGACCCAGCAGCCAGUAAGGACCAACAAGCACCAGUUAAAAACUCCCGAAGCACCAAAUUAACCUAUUUCAACAUUCAGGCUGUACUGAACUUACAAGAUCAUAAUGAAGUAACAAGAGUCAAACCGACCCAGCAAAGUAUUGUGCUGCGUUACAGAGGGAUAAGAUCCUCAUUAUUCUUACCCUGACUGUCGGUGUCAUAGUGGACUGGUGCAGUGCAAGCAUGAACAUGCUGCAAUCAAACCUGAGUGGUUUAUGUUCCCUUUUUUUCACCAAUCGGUCAUGGGUGAAUAUUUGCAGGAGUUUUUAGUUUUCUUUGGAAUACAAGAUAAUAAAUGUAUCCUGUAAUAAAUAGUAAAUAUUUUAAACAAUGUUGGAAUUUGUUUAGCGUCUUCUUAAGAAAUUAACUAAAGAAUGAAAACCAGAUUUAAUGUAAAGACGGUUUGUUACAAAAAGGGCAAUUAGACCCAUUAACUCAUAAACAAAAUAACAAAAAUGAAUGUAGAAAUGUCAAUGAUAUAUUUAAAAAAAUGCAAAUGGAUUCUGGUAAUAACUGACAAAAAGCACAGGUUUUUCUGUGCCCAGUGCAAACAUUUAUUCUGAAUUUAUUCAAAACUUUGUAAAAUAAUUUUUUUUUUAAAGUUACCGUACCUCUCUCUGUGAUCAACCAGCAGAAUGCAGCAAAGGACAAUAAACAACGUUUCUUUAAAGGCUAAGUACCCACUCUGAUGAAAAUGGUGUUUUUAACAUGUUCUUGUGGCAAUUUUCUCAUGAUUGUGGACAUAUAUUACGAAAACUAAGAUUAACAUUGUAUUUCUGAGUAUUUCUUUAUUUAAAUCAUUGUGAAUCAGGAGAGGAUGAAAAAAUGCAGUUCUAAAAAGAUCUGAUUUGUGAUGUAAAAAAAAUAUGCCGGGCAGGCCACAAGACCCUUUCUUUAAGGUCUCAGCAAUGGGAAGAGGAAGAGGGGGUGGGGUUGCUUCCUGCCAACUGUUCCG
Molecule: long non-coding RNA, 1667 nt
Organism: Oryzias latipes (Japanese medaka)
Lineage: Eukaryota; Metazoa; Chordata; Actinopteri; Beloniformes; Adrianichthyidae
Source: RefSeq, a predicted model, not a curated record